UGAGGAAUAUUGGUCAAUGGGCGAGAGCCUGAACCAGCCAAGUAGCGUGCAGGAUGACAGCCCUAUGGGUUGUAAACUGCUUUUAUGUGGGGAUAAAGUGCGUGACGUGUCAUGCAUUGCAGGUACCACAUGAAUAAGGACCGGCUAAUUCCGUGCCAGCAGCCGCGGUAAUACGGAAGGUCCGGGCGUUAUCCGGAUUUAUUGGGUUUAAAGGGAGCGUAGGCUGUCUAUUAAGCGUGUUGUGAAAUUUACCGGCUCAACCGGUGGCUUGCAGGGCGUACUGGUCGAAUUGAGUAUGCAGGAAGUAGGCGGAAUUCAUGGUGGAGCGGUGAAAUGCUUAGAUAUCAAGACGAACUCCGAAUGCGCAGGCAGCUUAAUGUAGCAUAACUGACGCUGAUGCUUGAAAGUGCGGGUAUCAAACAGG
Molecule: ribosomal RNA, 424 nt
Filed under: Fusobacteriota bacterium
Lineage: Bacteria; Fusobacteriati; Fusobacteriota
Description: Fusobacteria bacterium partial 16S ribosomal RNA
Rfam family: Bacterial small subunit ribosomal RNA
Source: RNAcentral